This 633-nucleotide long non-coding RNA is filed under the name Carica papaya (papaya). RNAcentral's name for it is "long non-coding RNA (CPAP_LNC005307)". Lineage: Eukaryota; Viridiplantae; Streptophyta; Magnoliopsida; Brassicales; Caricaceae. The record is from RNAcentral.
CGAGGUAUGGGGACGACCCGUUUCACCCUCAUACCGGACGGGGUAUUGAAGUUCAUGGUUUUGGCGCCCAUACCGGACGGGGUAUGGGGACGACCCUGGAAUCAGAUUAUUAAUGUUAAUGGUUCACGUGUAGCGGAGACCCCCUAUGGAUCUCCACGGAUACUAAUAGGUUGGUAAAAGAGGAAAUUUGUUGUAUGAUUAUUGAAGUACAAAGUAUAACAUGUGUUAUGUUACAAAGCGUAUAUGAUUUUAUGAUGGUUAUAAUGUUUUUGUUUCCAUAUGAUAUUUUUAUGAAUCUCACCGAGGUAAGUAGACAGUAAAAAUUUUUAUUGUUGAUAAAUGAGUUUGUUAAUAAUUAUGCUCCAUUGGUCGCUUUUGUUUUCUACCAGCCUUUACUUCUGUGGCAGUGAGAUAAUGUGAUGUCUUUACUGGGCUAGUGUAUCUCAUUCCUUACUUAACUAUUUCAGAUCAGAAAGACGUGGUUCUUGAGCCCGUUCUACAGGAAGACGACGAGUUAGACGUCUAGAGACUUCAUAGUUCUAUUUAUAGUUUUUAUUUCGAGUAUUUCUUUUAAUCAGCUUAUUCUUUCAUACGUUAAAUACGUUUAUGGUCAUUGUGUAAGGGAUGUUAAUC